CCUACGGGAGGCAGCAGUAGGGAAUCUUCCACAAUGGACGAAAGUCUGAUGGAGCAACGCCGCGUGAGUGAAGAAGGGUUUCGGCUCGUAAAGCUCUGUUGGUAGUGAAGAAAGAUAGAGGUAGUAACUGGCCUUUAUUUGACGGUAAUUACUUAGAAAGUCACGGCUAACUACGUGCCAGCAGCCGCGGUAAUACGUAGGUGGCAAGCGUUGUCCGGAUUUAUUGGGCGUAAAGCGAGUGCAGGCGGUUCAAUAAGUCUGAUGUGAAAGCCUUCGGCUCAACCGGAGAAUUGCAUCAGAAACUGUUGGACUUGAGUGCAGAAGAGGAGAGUGGAACUCCAUGUGUAGCGGUGGAAUGCGUAGAUAUAUGGAAGAACACCAGUGGCGAAGGCAGCUCUCUGGUCUGCAACUGACGCUGAGGCUCGAAAGCAUGGGUAGCGAACAGGAUUAGAUACCCCAGUAGUC
This 465-nucleotide ribosomal RNA is filed under the name uncultured bacterium. Its description in RNAcentral is "partial 16S ribosomal RNA". It matches the Rfam family "Bacterial small subunit ribosomal RNA", at positions 338 to 795 of the family's 1533-position model. The record is from RNAcentral.